CGGCGCGUCGGGCGCGAAGCGCGCCGCGUCCACCGCGGCACCUUGCGCAACCGCCGAGAGCAUGGCCGCUUCGAGCGUGGCCGCGCUGUC
RNAcentral lists this transfer RNA (90 nucleotides) under Burkholderia plantarii. RNAcentral describes it as "tRNA-Trp". Lineage: Bacteria; Pseudomonadati; Pseudomonadota; Betaproteobacteria; Burkholderiales; Burkholderiaceae. The record is from RNAcentral.